RNAcentral lists this transfer RNA (71 nucleotides) under Loxodonta africana (African savanna elephant). It matches the Rfam family "tRNA". Rfam says of the family: Transfer RNA (tRNA) molecules are approximately 80 nucleotides in length. Their secondary structure includes four short double-helical elements and three loops (D, anti-codon, and T loops). Further hydrogen bonds mediate the characteristic L-shaped molecular structure. tRNAs have two regions of fundamental functional importance: the anti-codon, which is responsible for specific mRNA codon recognition, and the 3' end, to which the tRNAs corresponding amino acid is attached (by aminoacyl-tRNA synthetases). tRNAs cope with the degeneracy of the genetic code in two manners: having more than one tRNA (with a specific anti-codon) for a particular amino acid; and 'wobble' base-pairing, i.e. permitting non-standard base-pairing at the 3rd anti-codon position. The record is from Rfam by way of RNAcentral. Lineage: Eukaryota; Metazoa; Chordata; Mammalia; Proboscidea; Elephantidae.
GCAGUGGUGGUUCGGUGGUAGAACUUUUGCCUUCCAUGUGGGAGACAUGAGUUCGAUUCCUGGCCAAUGCA